AAGAACCUGAGGGAACGAUUACCAGAAGAAGAAUCAAAUCUACAUAAUCGGCAAACCAGAGAUACGGAUCCAACUCUGGCAGCUGCACGAGAUCGAGAUUGGUUUUGGCCACCUCCGAAAGAUAGCUCAGAUGAGACAAAAUCAAACACAUUAGCAGACUCAAAUCACGAAGAACCAACAACAGGCCUUGGAAAUGUGCCAAAGCAUUACAGAUUUGCAGCAUCAGAGAGAAGCACCUCUGCCUCCUCAAGGUUGAUGGAGUGGAGGGACAUGCAAGGAGAUAGAUAUAACAGUAGGCUUGGCUUGCCUUCGACAAGCUACAAGGAGUUAAAAGUAAAGGAUGGGUGAUGAGGGGAAGCUGGGAACGGUGGAAAUAGUGGUGUGGAGGUGUUGGCGAUGAUGUCUUGUGUGCGCCACUGGAUAUAAAUACCUGCUGAGGGGAGAGAAAGGAUUGAAGGCUAAGCUUGUUUGGACUCACUCGAGGAAAUGAUGGCCACCUUCCUCACCCCCACCACUUUGAGCUUUGGCCCAUCAUGUCUUUUGUGCCAUGUAUUCCCCAUCCUUUCUUUAGAGUAGGGGAGGAUACGGAGAAAGGAGAGGCCCCAAGUGUUUUUUGGCACACAGUGGUGAGGAGAUUGGACCUUUCCCCUUUAUCCUACCUUUUACCUCCCCUCACCUCCUAUAGAGAGAGAGAGAGAGAGAGAGAGAGGAAAAGGUUGGUGAUGGUUCUUGGUUGGAUUGGGUUCCUCUUAUUAUAGUUGGUGGAGACACCAUGGUCCACCUUUACCUAACUCAGAACAACAAUGCUGUGCUUGUACUCAUUAGAUGGUGUUGAUUGUCCUUGGCAUGGUUCAUCAAGACAUGAAUAGGGAUUGCAAUGGAUCACUUGUUUCAGGUA
Molecule: long non-coding RNA, 898 nt
Organism: Musa acuminata AAA Group (dessert banana)
Lineage: Eukaryota; Viridiplantae; Streptophyta; Magnoliopsida; Zingiberales; Musaceae
Exons: 2
Source: RefSeq, a predicted model, not a curated record